This 341-nucleotide RNase P RNA is filed under the name Naumannella halotolerans. RNAcentral describes it as "Propionibacteriaceae bacterium WS4616 Bacterial RNase P class A". It matches the Rfam family "Bacterial RNase P class A". From Rfam's summary of the family: Ribonuclease P (RNase P) is a ubiquitous endoribonuclease, found in archaea, bacteria and eukarya as well as chloroplasts and mitochondria. Its best characterised activity is the generation of mature 5'-ends of tRNAs by cleaving the 5'-leader elements of precursor-tRNAs. Lineage: Bacteria; Bacillati; Actinomycetota; Actinomycetes; Propionibacteriales; Propionibacteriaceae. The record is from Rfam by way of RNAcentral.
CGAGUCGGCCAGAUGAUCGCGGUGCUCGCACCGAGGAAAGUCCGGACUCCGCAGAGCAGGGUGGUGGGUAACACCCACCCGGGGCGACCCGCGGGACAGUGCCACAGAGAACAGACCGCCCUCCUCGUGGGGGCAAGGGUGAAACGGCGGUGUAAGAGACCACCGGCACCCCGGGUGACCGGGGUGGCCAGGCAAACCCCACCCGGAGCAAGACCAGACAGGCUGCGUCAGAGGGCUGCUCGCCCGAGCAGCCGGGUAGGUUGCACCAGGCGACUGGCAACAGUCGUCGCAGAUGGAUGAUCAUCCUUCGACAGAAUCCGGCUUACCGGCCGGCUCGUCCU